Molecule: transfer RNA, 65 nt
Filed under: Aulacomnium palustre subsp. imbricatum
Lineage: Eukaryota; Viridiplantae; Streptophyta; Bryopsida; Aulacomniales; Aulacomniaceae
Description: partial tRNA-Phe
Source: RNAcentral
GCCGGGAUAGCUCAGUUGGUAGAGACGAGGACUGAAAAUUCUCGUGUCAUCAGUUCAAAAACAAG